UUUUUUUUUCAUUUUUUUU
This 19-nucleotide small RNA is filed under the name Arabidopsis thaliana (thale cress). Its description in RNAcentral is "ATSL217550". The record is from RNAcentral. Lineage: Eukaryota; Viridiplantae; Streptophyta; Magnoliopsida; Brassicales; Brassicaceae.